Emys orbicularis (European pond turtle) is the source of this 259-nucleotide long non-coding RNA. RefSeq lists it as uncharacterized. The transcript has 3 exons. NCBI's taxonomy places the organism in Eukaryota, Metazoa, Chordata, Testudines, Emydidae. The record is from RefSeq and is a predicted model, not a curated record.
GCUACCUGUUACUUCUUUCAUCACAGACUUUAGUCUUCAGUUUCUGGACCAGGUGUUCUACUAGAUACAUCACUCUAUGAUCAAAUAAUUGUCAAGAUCAGCUUGUUCUUACAGUUAGUGUAAGAGGAAGAUUGAUAAUUGAAAAGUAGCAGAGAUAAUGGCCCAGAAUCAGUGACAGCUUUGGGCACCAAAAACCUCUGUUUAUGCACAGAAGAGAUACAGUACAGACAGUGGCAAUUCAAGCUUCCUCACAGUAACG